GCCACACAAUGUUUAUUUAUUUACAUAUAAAACAUAAUAGUUUUACAUUAAGGUCUAUGAAGAAUUUUAUAUACAAAGAAUCAAACCAAACAAACAAUCUAAAAGAAAAACCAACAUUUCAUCAACUUUCAUCACCAGCCCAAUUACUCUUGAGUUUAGGCCCAGUAGGCCCAUCUUCACCAUAAACUUCAUCAGGAAUCUUCUUCACAAAUUUAACAAAAGCCUUUUUCAAAAGCCCAGGCAAUAUCCUCUCCACACUCUUAACUUCAUCAUCAACAUUAUAAUCAAUCUUCGGCCCCCACUUCCUGAAAUACUUAACCCACGGCGGCUCCACCACUCCUCCGCCGUCAUACUCCGCCGCAAUCACCUCAUACCCUAACCCCGUAUCAAGCACCUUCUUACCUUUCCCCGUAUCAUUCCUAAUCCCAACCCCAUCGUCUCCUUGCAACACCAACCCAGGUUUCGGAUACAUCGCGUGUCCAUGUAGCGAUGCGUACGCCACAAACUUGUUAUUUCCUCCGUCUUGGAACUCCAAAUCGCAAGCAUCGAUCCAAAUUCCACCACUAUGCUGCGAUAAGAACACUCUCCAAAGCUCUCCGGUGAAAUUACUGAUCCGUAGCGUCGUGUGUUCCCAAUCUCCAAUGUGUUCUCCGAUUCUACCCAACGGUAGAUUUACGAAUUUGACCUUGGCUUUUGCUGGUCCAUUGAAAGGGAAGAUCUAGCCAGUAUGAUCCAUCGUUUGAUCCUCCUUGUGGAAGAUUAGAACCGUUUGAUUCGAUAGGGAUUGGUUUCGAUUCUUCGCCUUUCUUGUAUAGUAAUGCUCCGUUGUUGAAGUACCAAGUGACAGAGGAAGGUAGAUAUUCUUCGUCUGGAUGGAAAUAGAUACAUGGAGAAAAAGUUUGGAACAAUUCUUCGAUUUGGGACCCAUUUGGCAUUGUAGAGAAGUCGAGUUUCGUGUUCUUUAAGCAAGAUAAUGAUGGAGGCGAGGAGUUUUGGGUUUGCCAUGUAAAUGUACCUACAUAGACUCCUGUAGCUUGUGUUCCUCUUGUGGUUGGUUUUAGAUUUGAGAUGUUGACUCCGUUUGUGCCCCAUAUCCAUGUAUCAGCUUCACAUUGUUCGGUUAAAUCUGAUCGGAUGCAGCGUAGUUUGUCUAGAGGUGGUUUUUGUGAGUAGUUUGUGACUAUUAGGCCAACGGCUUGAUAUCCAUCAGGAGGAACGGGUUGCCAGAAGUAUCCGGUUCCGUCUUGUUUAAUUUUGAGUGACUCGGUGUUUCCUACGAGGGUGUAAUCUACUGGUGGUUUUAAGGUGUUGCUUGAGAGAUCUCUAGCUGUGAGUACCCAACCGAAAAGAUUACGGUUGUUUGGUUGAGCGUAGUAGCCAAGGAUGGAGAAACCGGAAGGGAUUGAGGAUGGUUCAAAGAAUGUAGCUCCGAGAUUGUCUGGUCCUCCUUCAUAAGUGGACCAAACUUUGUUGAAUGUCGAAACUUGACUAACUUCGAGACCACCUCCUAAGUCAAUGGUUCCUUUCGCAAAACCAUCACCUGAUGAUGCAAGUGAAAUCAAGAUUAUCAAAACUAAUUGGGAGACAGAGAGAGAGAGAGAGAUCAGUAAGAACCGAUGAUAAUACAAACCUCGAGUAAAAGUAGGUAACGGUGAAGGAAACUUGAAUGCAGCAUCGACGGGAAGUGCUUUGGGAAGCUUCUUUGAUACAUCUUCAUGAGAUGGAUCAGAGGUUGAAAGGCAGUUUCCCAUUUUUGGGAUAGCGGAACAUAAACAGGAAGAUUGAUAUUUAAACAGAGGAAACUUGUUUGUUUUUUUCGUUUUUUGUUAAAACAGAGGAAACUUGUAGUCAUGGGUUAUAUAGAAAUGCAGUAUCUUGGUGUCAAUUACUUUACUCAUCAAGAAUAUAGAAAUAAGAAAGAGAGGAUAAGUGUAAAGCAUAUUCUUCUCUGUGAAUGACAAAAACGCAAAUUUAAACGUAU
RNAcentral lists this long non-coding RNA (1981 nucleotides) under Arabidopsis thaliana (thale cress). Its description in RNAcentral is "ncRNA (AT2G44255)". The record is from RNAcentral. Lineage: Eukaryota; Viridiplantae; Streptophyta; Magnoliopsida; Brassicales; Brassicaceae.